CCUACGGGGGGCAGCAGUGGGGAAUAUUGGGCAAUGGGCGCAAGCCUGACCCAGCAACGUCGCGUGAAGGAAGAAGGCUUUCGGGUUGGAAACUUCUUUUCUCAGGGACGAAGCAAGUGACGGUACCUGCGGAAUAAGCCACGGCUAACUACGUGCCAGCAGCCGAGGUAAUACGUAGGUGGCAAGCGUUAUCCGGAUUUACUGGGGUUAAAGGGCGUGUAGGCGGGAAAGUAAGUCAGAUGGGAAAACCAUGGGGGCAACCUGCUGCCUGCAUUUGAAACUGUUUUUCUUGAGUACUGGAGAGGCAGACGGAAUGCCUAGUGUAGCGGUGAAAUGCGUAGAUAUUAGGAGGAACACCAGUGGCGAAGGCGGUCUGCUGGACAGCAACUGACGCUGAGGCGCGAAAGCGUGGGGAGCAAACAGGAUUAGAUACCCUUGUAGUC
RNAcentral lists this ribosomal RNA (443 nucleotides) under uncultured bacterium. RNAcentral describes it as "partial 16S ribosomal RNA". It matches the Rfam family "Bacterial small subunit ribosomal RNA", at positions 338 to 795 of the family's 1533-position model. The record is from RNAcentral.